RNAcentral lists this ribosomal RNA (440 nucleotides) under uncultured bacterium. RNAcentral's name for it is "partial 16S ribosomal RNA". It matches the Rfam family "Bacterial small subunit ribosomal RNA", at positions 338 to 795 of the family's 1533-position model. The record is from RNAcentral.
CCUACGGGUGGCAGCAGUAGGGAAUAUUGCUCAAUGGGGGAAACCCUGAAGCAGCAACGCCGCGUGGAGGAUGAAGGUUUUAGGAUUGUUAACUCCUUUUGUGAGAGAAGAUAAUGCCGGUAUCCCACGCAUAAGCACCGGCUAACUCCGUGCCGGCAGCCGCGGUAAUACGGCGGGUGCAAGCGUUACUCGGAAUUACCGGGCGUAAAGCGUGCGCAGGCGGGCUUGUAAGUCAGAUGUGAAAGCCUGGAGUUUAACUACAGAACUGCAUUUGAAACUAUGAGUCUAGAGUGUGGGAGAGGUAGGUGGAAUGCUUGGUGUAGGGGUAAAAUCCGUAGAUAUCAAGAGGAAUACUCAUUGCGAAGGCGGCCUACUGGAACAUUACUGACGCUCAGGCACGAAAGCGUGGGGAGCAAACAGGAUUAGAUACCCUAGUAGUC